GGGGGAGAAGAAAGAAAUCUUCCUUUUGCAAAAGGAGGCAUAAUGUGGCUUAGAGGUUGCCAAAGCAAAAGGUUUUGCUUUAUUUUGUUUUUGCAACCGAGGCGUUCAGGGUGGGGCUGGCGCGAGGGAAGGGUGGAUGGGGAGAAGGUCACUGUCUUAGCACAUGGCGAGAUUUAUUUACUCCUUUGGAUUAUUUCGGUUUCUCGCCGAAUGGCUUUGAUCCUGGAUUCCUAAAAAUACCUUUGAAAGAUUGAAAGACUCGCCCCGCCCCCCCAACCUCCACACCGUCUUACUGCCUAACUCCUCGGAACCCUCGGAGGUUGCGCAUAAACAAUUUUUUCUUCCAGAACGGUCCCCCUCUCCGCCUUGGGGGAGCCGGGAGGAUGUGCAGCCCCAGUCCUCCUGCUCGGCAGAGCCUAGCGCGAUUCGCGCCCUCAUUACCACUACAAAGCGCGGGCCAGACCAAUCCCCUUUCUAAUGCACCAUUUUCGACUGAGAGUAUCAAGAGGCCAGAAACUUCCAAGUCAGCUUGCAGACGCAGACGCCUCCUGGGGUCCUGGCUUUAAAAACCAGAUGCCAACAUUCCCGGACAGUUUAUGGCAUCCGGAUCCCUCAAGGGUGCUCAUCAGCAGUUGAGAGUGUUAGUAGCAAUUAUUUAUCAUCUGUUCUGGAGAGGAGUUCCUGAACAUAAAUGUCCUCUGCCGGCCCUAAAGCUGGGGGCGGAGGCUGUGUGUUGGGUGGGGGUUGGGGGGCCGAAUGUUCCCGGUCCUGUUAUCUGGUUUAGCAGCAUUUGUUGUGGUUUUCGAGGAAACGGCAUCUGGAUUACAUAAGGAUUCAAGUUUUUGCUGUACUUGUUUAUUUAAUACCUUGGCAAGAGGGAGCCCUUACCCUGAAACCAGAUAACCGAUUUUGGGUUUAAAACAGCCUUAGAUGAAGGGCCACUCGAGGGGAAGAAAAUGAGCAAAGCCACAAAAAGCAAACAAGGGAAUGUUUAUUUUUCUCUUUUUGGAUAUUUUUGAAGACCUGCCUAACCUCUUACACUUCUUGUCGCAUACAGCUAAUAAAUGGCAUUAACAAAGCGUUUCAGCGACUACCACGGCUUAACAGUGGCUCCUCCCCUGCCCUGCCACCAUUCAGGCUGUAAUUCUUUCCAGGAUUCCCGCACCAUCCUGUGUGCCCAGAGCUCUCUAGAGCACCAGGUAGAACUCCGUGCUAAAUCCAAUUGCUUGCAAUCUUCUGAUCCCCUUUUAGGGAGAUCACUUUUCAGCUUGGUUCAAAGAAAGCAAAGUUUGGGAAGUUUGGCGGAGGGGCCGACUUAACUACGGGCACUGCAAAUAUUUUGUUACAAAUGCUGUGAAGUGCCCCGAUUUGUGGCUGCGUUAGCUUUCACAAAGGAUUUUCCUGUGUCUUUUGUUCCGAUCACCAAAUUAAAAAAGAAAAUUAACUUGAGUGAGAGAUAAGGUCUUGGAAAACAAUCUUGGGCCGCCCGCGAGCUGGCGGGAGCGGGGCUGGCGUCGCCUUGUCUGCGCCGCCCCGAGGCGCGAGUCUUGGGGUCCGGCCACCGCAGGGAGCCUAGGUCAUGCAGGGACCCCCCCCUCCAUCCGCUGUGCACCCCCGCGCCACAGCGCAGCAGCACCCAGGCCACCCCCCCUCUGCCCACCAGCGUCCGUGGGAAUCCGCCCCAGCCAGCGACAAGGGCGGGCUUGUCCGGAAUCAAACUGCAUCUUAAUAUUAUAAUGCGGCACCAAAAGCAAAACCCGAGGCCCCGGCUUGCAGUCCCUAACAAUAAACACAUUGUGUGCGCUUUUUCUUUUUUGGCUCAAGCCACGUUCGCGCGCCGGCCCCUCCGCAGCGAGCCAAGUCCAUGACUUCAGUGAGGAGGAACCCGCCUGCCUCGCACCACGUGCGCUCCCAGCUGGGGCAGCCGCCCUGUGAGCCCUGUCCCGGUCCCUGGGACGGGCUAGGGCCUGGCCGGGACGUACUUGUCCUGAGCACAGGACAAGGGCUUUGGGGCACAGCCCUUUCUCGGCCGGGGAGGCAGGCGAACCAAUCGCCCGGGCACUGGUGUUACCCAGGCGGCGCCAGUGCGAGUUGGCUGGUGGACAGAUUUUUCAAUAGUUUGAACUCCUUCUUCCCCUUGCCGCAUCUUUAAGGCGUUUACUCCCAGAUUCAGCCCUCUCCUCAUAAUAAUGACAGUUUGCAGACUUCUCCUUUCCAGUUAGAGUGCGUGCGCGGGUCCUGCAAGACCCCAGCCGCGCGUCACCGCAAACCAUUCUGCGGGAGGGGCAGGACCUAAGGCUGCAUCUCCAGGAGGGAACGUGGAGACACCGCGGGCGGAGGGGACCUGGAGGAGUUCCUGGAGGAGCAGUCCUAGGCACGGGGCGAAGGAUUUGCGCUCUAGCUGGUGGAGCGCACAUCGCCCUGGUUAGCUCUGCGGUGGGUCCUGGGCUCUUCCCGGCCUCUUCCUGCCUCCGCUGACAUCAGGGCCUCUCUCCUGUUUAGUCCUAGGCCUGCCCUUCAUCAGGACUCCGCAGAAAAGGAUGGGUAAAUUAAGGCAUACAUUUAAUUUUAACCAUCAUGCCUGACUUUCUAGGAUUCUGUGUGAAGAAUACAGAGACAGACGUUCCAUUUCAAAGAAAAAAGAGCAACACGAAGGCCCUCUUUAAGGAGAGAGUAAACAUUCACUUUAGGUAAAAAAUAGUCUUUUACACGCCUGUGCACGGCACACCUCUUUUGCUGUUCACCUUGAGCCCAAGAGUUUGGAAAGGCUGCCCCCAUUUCAGAGAGGAAGAAACGCAGGCACACGUGAAUGACAGACUCCUCUGUGGUGGCCUAGACUCCAGCCAACACUUCCUAGGACAGCCUGCCAUUGUGCAAAGUCACCAUGUAACAAAUGCAGACAUCUCUGAGAUCACCAUGCAGUGAGGAAGUCUAAGCUGGUGGCAUGAAGAGGCCACAUGGAAAGGGCUAAAAAAGGGGCCAGCCUCAGUCAUCCUAGCUGAGCACCUGGCUGGGAAUAAAAGAGGACUCCGUGGAUGUCCAACCCAGUAAGAUAACCUCAGCCCCAGCCACCAACUGACCACGCACACAAGACAUCGUGAGGCUGCCUGCUGGAGCCUGGCCAGUGGGACUGUAGAGUAACUCAUUGUCGUGCAGGAACUCCUGGGAUGGUGUCGCCCAGUGACACAAUCCCAGUGUGGCCAUUUCUGAUCCUGAGAAAGCAGUCAGGAGUGGGUGGAUGCAGUUACAGUUCAUCAAGUCCUGCUAGUUCAAGUCAUGAGUCCUGAAUUCUCCAGGCGGAACCACUAAAGAAAUGCAGAAGCAGGCAAUCCUCGCAAUAAAGUGGAAUGAGGCCAGCAAACUGCCAGUGUGAAGGAUGCCCAGGUAACCUGCCCACGCCAGAACGGCCAGGAGAUGGUGGAACCAGAAUCUAAGCCCACGCCCAUCUGACUUCAAAGUCUGUGCUCCUGAUGUUUGCACUGAGUCACCUCCUAAGACUUGCUGAAACUGGAUCACAUCCAUUUACCUAUCUCUGAGAGAAAUGCAAGCUUUAAAAAAGGAAGUAUUUACUAUGGAUAUUUUACAAUAGUUCCAAAACAUGAAAGUUUUAAAUAAGAUAUUCUUAACCAUCCGCACCACAUCUUCAGGUUCCCUUACAGCCACUGUAUUUUGACGAUUGCCCAUUAGAAAAAAAGACUAUGCUUUCUGUAGGUUUUAAAGGAAUGGUGGUGAAAUAGGGAGCAUUCCCUGAGCAGAUCCUGCCUGUGGGCACACCUCUGAGCAUUGGAUCAGGCGAGAAGAGCCCAUGUGUUGGCUGCUUUGGGAUCCCAGCACUGCCAAUGGCAGGUGGGCUGUGACCCAGGGAGAGAACCUAGCCUUUUGCAUUCUCUUGCCCCAUUUGAAAAUGGAGACGAUAGUGGCGCCCCACUCAGUGUUAUUUUGAGGAUUUGAAUGUAUCUCAGACGUAGUACCUGGAAAAAUAUAAGUGCUCAGUAAAUACGGUUGCCAGAUAAAAUGCAGGAAACCUAUUUAAAUUUAAGUUUUGGCUGGACAAUGAAUAGAAAAAUUUUUCUUAGUAUGAGUAUGUCCUUAUAUUUCAUCUGCUAAAUUUAGCAACCUCCUCAGUAAAUGAUCACUACAAUUGCAAAAACGCCUUAUGACAGAUAUAGUAAAUCUGUAAAGAAAUAGGAACUUGCAUUUAUUUUUACUAAGCUCUGACUGGUUAAGAUAACUGGGCAAGAGAAGGUAUCUUCGACUAAACUUGCAGCAUAUAGAGUAUAGAGAUUCAAAUUUGAAGUCCUAUAGGACUAGAAUGGCCAGAGGUGAACUGUAGCGAGCUUAUCUAAAGAGGACCAAUUUCAAAAGUUCCUCAGAGACUUAAAUGGGCCCACAGACCCCUCCUGUGUCUUUGCAUAAGCCAGCUCGUUAUAUCAGUUAUAAGUUGAUUUCCAGAGAAAUGUACCCUGGAGGUCCCUCUCCCACUUGAAAUAGGACUGGCCAAUCCAGAUGUCCCCCAGGUGAUGUUGGCUCAAAUGGAGCUCCAUAAAUUGGAGAAUCUAUUCAAGAAAACAAGCAAAAGUAUUUGUGACUGAGUUAGCUAAUGCCAGCUGGUAUCUUGAACAAACCCAGAUCUCUAACAUGCUAGUUUAUUUCGUAGUGCAAAGUGUGUGUUACUGAUGGGCAGACAGCUCUCAUUCAAGCAGUGACAGAUGUAAGCUCUUCCCAUUUUUGUGGCCCCAUUGUAUUCAGCGUGUGGCUUCCAAGUUGCCUGGGAUCAUCUCCACUGAGACUAAGGAAGAGGAAAGAGCUUGGACAACUGCACUUGGCUGGUUUUUAUGGAUCAGGCAAGGAAUUGACUCCAACACAUUCGCUCACAUUCCAUUGGUUAGAACUGGGUUUCUCAACUAUUAGUACAGGGUGAGUGUAGGGUUUUGGCACCAUGGGCAUUUGAGCUGGCCAAAGGCUAAUCAGAGUUAGAACAAAGCCACAAAGCCUGUGAAUGGUGUUUAUUGUUGUGAGGGGCUGUCUUGUGCAUUGUGGAAUGUUCAGCAGGAUGCUCUCUGGCCUCAGAGACUCACUAGAUUCCCAUAGAACUCUCCUCUCUCCUCCAGUUGUGACAACCACAGUUGCCUCCUCUCCAGACAUUGGAGGAGGAUGUCCCCGGGAGGCAAAAUUGUCCUGGAUGAGAACCACUGUGUUAGAACUCGGUCACAUGGCCACACCUAACUGCAAGGGAGGGGGCUGGAAGAUCUAGACGAGUAGUAUGCCAGGAAGAAAAUAAAACUGAUUUAGAGGCUGCUGGCCAGUCGCUUUCAGUGACCUUCAGCAUACUUAUUCCUCUGCAGCUGUCAGGACACUCAUGACUGUUUCUGAGAUGUUUCCUGUGUGAGGGGACAUAGUGACUAUUGGAGGGGUGACAUGUUGGACUUGGGUAGGGUGAAGAGGAUUGGAAACCACCGUCAUGUUUGGCAGCAUUGAAUGUUUAUGACUAUUUGAAUAGUUGUGACAGGGUACAGUGAAGGAGGAAAUAACCAUUUUUGAAUACCCUUUUACAAUUUGCAAAGCACUUUUAAAGGUAAGAGUGAGUUCCUAGACCAUAUUAGGGUGAGAAUGGACAUUGUUGGCUGCCAUAUCAUUGGGCAGGGGCUUUGAGAUUUUUGUCUUCAAAAGGCAGAUUAGAUUUGGAGUAGAAGGAGAAAUGUAAAGACCUGUAUCUGAGUGUGUUUGCAGAGGGGAAUUGUCAUUUGGAAGCACAAGAAAGGGAAUGGCCCAUUGGCACAUAUGGUACAUUGUGUUUUCAUAUAAUUAUACCUGAAUGAAAGCAAGAGGAAACGUGUAGGAAGCUGUUUACAUAGUCCUUUUAAUAAUGUUUACAUGAGUUAAUGAACAUGCAAACGUAUCUGAUGAAAACAUGUCAGUAGUGAAACAGCCUUGUGAAGAAUCAAAUCUUACCUCAGGCUGGAAAAAAGGACUGGUUUUCCAAGCUCACAAAUUGCAGCCAGUGUGAAUAGUAGCACAAAUGACUUUGAGCUUUAAGACAUCCAUCCAUCCAUCUAUCCAUCCCCUCAUCCAUCCAUCCCCUCAUCCAUCCACCCACCCAUCCAUCCAUCCAUCCCUUCAUCCAUCACUCCACCCAGCCAUCCGUCCCUUCAUCAAUCCAUCCAUCCCUUUAUCCAUCCAUCCCUUCAUCCAUCCAUCCAUCCAUCCUUCCUUCCUUCCAUUCAUCCCUUCAUCCAUCUGUCCAUCCAUCCAUCCACUCAUUCAUCCCUUCAUCCAUCCAUCCACCCAUCCAUCCAUCCAUUCCUUCAUCAACUCAUCCCUUCAUCCAUCGUCUACCAUUCAUUUGCCCCUUCAUCCAUCCAUUCAUUUAUCCAUCCAUCCAUCCAUCCAUUUACUUCCAUCCAUCCCUUUAUCCAUCCAUUCACCCAUUCAUCCCUUUAUCCAUCUAUCCAUUCCUCCAUCCAUCCAUCCAUCCAUCCAUCCAUUUACUCUUCAUCCCUUCAUCCAUUUUUCCAUCCAUUCAUCCAUUCAUCUUUUCAUCCAUCCAUCCAUUGCUCCUCCAUCCAUCCAUUGCUCCAUCCAACCAUCCAUCCAUCCAUUCGUCCCUUCAUCCAUCCAUUCAUCCCAUCAUCCAUCGAUCACUUCAUCCAUCCAUCCAUCCUUCCAUCCAUUCUUCCAUUCAUCCAUCCAUGUGUUCAGCAAGUAUUUACUGAAUGCCUAUUAUGUGCCAAGCACUCUCCUCAGAACUUAGGAAAUACCAGGAAACAAAAUCAACAACAAUCCCUCACCACCUGGAUAUUACAUUUUGAUGGGAAGACGCAAAGAAAUAAAAUUGGUGAGUGAAUCACAUAGGUUAUUAGAAGGUGAUAAAGGUGUAGGUGAUAAAGGAGAAGUGCCAGGAGCAAGGAUUGGGUACAGUUGUGAAUAAGGUGGCUCCAAUAGGUUGCACUGAGAAGGUGACAUUUGCACAGAGACUUGAAGAAAGCAAGGAGAGAACAUGACUGUACCUGGGGAACAGCAUUUGUGGAAGAGGGAACAGCCAGUGUAAAAGUUCCAAGGCAUGAGUGCCUGGUACAUACACGGAACAUCGAGGCCAGGGUGGCAGAAACGCGGUGAGUCCAGGAAGGGAAUAGGAAAUAAGUGUAGGAAGGUGUACAGUGGGGUGGUGUGGGGGUGGAAUUGUGGCAGCCAGAUGGUGUUGGCAUAAGGCCUCUUGGCCCUUGUUAGGACUUGGUUUACCAUGGCGCAACACAUCCAUGAGAUUGGCAAAAAUUAAAAAGUCUGACUGACAACAGAAAAUCUGGUAAUCUGGUGAGGAUGUGGAGCAGUGGGAAUUCUCCAAUACUGCCAGGGGGCAUGGGCAUCAAUCCCACCACACUGGAAUGCAAAGGGGCAUUCUGAGUAGAACUGAAGAUGUGCCCAUCCUUGACCCCACAGUUCCAGCCAUGGGCAUGCGAAUGAAUGUGCACACGUGUUGACCACGGCAUUUGUUUGUAAUUAUGAAAACAUCUAAGUUUCCAUCUAUGGGAGAGGGGAUAAUGUGGGAGUGCCCUACAGUGGAGUUCUAGAGAGCAGUAAAAAUAAAUGGACUAGAGCUGCACACGUCAAAAUGGAUGAAGAUAAAAGACAUAAGGAUGGGAGAAGACCACCUGGCCACAGAAGUAUAUGUCCAAUAUGAUGCUGGUGUAUCCAGAGUGUUCAAACAAACAACACAACACUACUCAUUGUUUCCAACGUGAGUAUGAAAGUAUGGAGCAGUGCGGAGGGCCAGGAGUGCUGAAUCCAGAUGGUUACUUCUCCAGGCGGGGGCCGAGGACCAGGGCUGGAGGUUUACUCCAGGAGCUUCAGUGGUGCAUGCUGAAUGUGCUGUUUCUUGGGCUGGGGGACAGAGAUGUGCAUGCUGUUAUACACUCUAUAUUGAAAUGAUUAUAUAACAAUAUACUAAUUUAUCAUGUAAUAAAUUUGACCAGAA
This is a long non-coding RNA of Gorilla gorilla gorilla (western lowland gorilla), 7972 nucleotides long. RefSeq lists it as uncharacterized. The transcript has 4 exons. The record is from RefSeq and is a predicted model, not a curated record. Lineage: Eukaryota; Metazoa; Chordata; Mammalia; Primates; Hominidae.